This 253-nucleotide ribosomal RNA is filed under the name uncultured bacterium. Its description in RNAcentral is "partial 16S ribosomal RNA". It matches the Rfam family "Bacterial small subunit ribosomal RNA", at positions 524 to 776 of the family's 1533-position model. The record is from RNAcentral.
UACGAAGGGGGCUAGCGUUGCUCGGAAUCACUGGGCGUAAAGGGUGCGUAGGCGGCUUUGUAAGUUAGAGGUGAAAGCCCGGAGCUCAACUCCGGAACUGCCUUUAAGACUGCAUCGCUUGAAUCCGGGAGAGGUGAGUGGAAUUCCGAGUGUAGAGGUGAAAUUCGUAGAUAUUCGGAAGAACACCAGUGGCGAAGGCGGCUCACUGGACCGGUAUUGACGCUGAGGAGCGAAAGCGUGGGGAGCGAACAGG